Bombyx mori (domestic silkworm) is the source of this 386-nucleotide long non-coding RNA. RefSeq lists it as uncharacterized. NCBI's taxonomy places the organism in Eukaryota, Metazoa, Arthropoda, Insecta, Lepidoptera, Bombycidae. The record is from RefSeq and is a predicted model, not a curated record. The transcript is spliced from 2 exons.
AGUCCGUCGGAUUACGGACGGCCCGAACUUGUAACAAGCGUCCACAGACAAAAAGCGUACUCAAAUCGAUCAUGUUAUACGUACUAUCGAAAUAUCGAGAAGAUUUUGCUUCGAAUGAAUUCGAAUUGAACUCCUUGAUGCUACCCGGAAAACAUUUGUCAUGAGUUUGGAACAAUCUGACAAUUAUUGUUCAUUGAUUUAAGGUAGAUAAUGGUGGAAGACUUGAUGCUGAGAGCUGGUUGGUUGAAGAUUUUGUAGUGAACGCCACGAUAAAACUCCUCCCGAGUGUUAAUUCUUUACCUGAGUUCGCCUUACUCUUACGCCUGACUCUUAACAUUUAAGUGGCCAUCCGUAUAUUAAAUAAUAAUAAAUAAAUACUUGUGGAA